GUUUGAUCAUGGCUCAGGAUGAACGCUGGCGGCGUGCCUAACACAUGCAAGUCGAGCGAGAUGUAUAUGGACGAAACUUCGGUCUAGGAAAUAUAUUGACAGCGGCGGACGGGUGAGUAACGCGUAGGCAACCUGCCCUUAACACAGGGAUAGCCUCGGGAAACCGGGAUUAAAACCUGAUAAUGCCAAAUAGUCACAUGGCUGUUUGGCCAAAGAUUUAUCGGUUAAGGAUGGGCCUGCGUCUGAUUAGUUUGUUGGUGGGGUAACGGCCUACCAAGACUACGAUCAGUAGCCGACCUGAGAGGGUGAUCGGCCACAUUGGAACUGAGACACGGUCCAAACUCCUACGGGAGGCAGCAGUGGGGAAUAUUGCACAAUGGGCGAAAGCCUGAUGCAGCAACGCCGCGUGAGCGAUGAAGGCCUUUGGGUCGUAAAGCUCUGUCCUUGGGGAAGAAAAAAAUGACGGUACCCAAGGAGGAAGCCCCGGCUAACUACGUG
This 498-nucleotide ribosomal RNA is filed under the name uncultured bacterium. Its description in RNAcentral is "bacterial SSU rRNA". It matches the Rfam family "Bacterial small subunit ribosomal RNA", at positions 11 to 507 of the family's 1533-position model. The record is from RNAcentral.